CUCGUCGCUUGUCGCUGUGUUGUCCACAGCAGCGUCGCUCAUCUCCGUCAUCGUCCACCGCAACAUUGCUCGUCGCUCAUCACCGUCGUCCUCGUCAGCAGCGUCGCCAUCGUCUCCCACAGCUACGUACGUCACCAACAGUAUCUAAAGAAUCUUGGAGAUUCCUAGAUUCAACAAGGUGUUCAGCAAAGAUCAUAAGCUUAUGAGAGUGAGAGAGCUGGUACUUCAUCAUUACCCUCAUCAGAAUUGGAUUAAACUUGAUACUGAUUUUUU
Molecule: long non-coding RNA, 273 nt
Organism: Ipomoea nil (Japanese morning glory)
Lineage: Eukaryota; Viridiplantae; Streptophyta; Magnoliopsida; Solanales; Convolvulaceae
Exons: 3
Source: RefSeq, a predicted model, not a curated record